Molecule: ribosomal RNA, 912 nt
Filed under: Triticum aestivum (bread wheat)
Lineage: Eukaryota; Viridiplantae; Streptophyta; Magnoliopsida; Poales; Poaceae
Description: partial small subunit ribosomal RNA
Source: RNAcentral
AUGGCUGCGGCGGCGGCGUGGGACGGCCCGACGGCGGGCGAGCUGAAAGCGGCCGGCGCGGAGGCGAUUCCGGGCGGCGUGCGGGUGAAGGGCUGGGUCAUCCAGACUCACAAGGGGCCCAUCCUCAACUCCGCAUCUGUGAGCCUAUAUGAAGAUAAACUUCAGACGACACAUUUACCUGAGAUGGUGUUUGGAGAGAGUUUUGUGUCUAUUCAGAAUGCUCAAACUGGUGUCAAAUUACAUUUCAAUGCGCUUGAUGCUCUCAAGGCAUGGAAACAAGAGGCAUUGCCACCUGUUCAAGUUCCUGCUGCAGCAAAAUGGAAAUUCAGAAGGCAAAGAACCAAGAGAAGGUUCAUUCAGUAUAUGUUUUCUUGCAGUAAUCCUGCUGAUCAAGUGGUACUUGACUAUGACUAUACAUUCACGACACCAUACUGUGGGAGUGAUGUGGUUCUGAACCAAGACGCUACGCAAACAAGUUUAGAUGAAUGUAGCAAUUUGUGUUGGGAGGACACUGAUGACAGGAUAGACCUUGUUGCCCUUUCUGCAAAAGAACCAAUUCUUUUCUACGAUGAGGUUAUCUUGUAUGAAGAUGAGCUAGCUGAUAGUGGUAUUUCAUUCCUUACAGCGCGAGUGAGGGUGAUGCCAACCGGUUGGUUUCUGCUCUUGCGCUUUUGGCUUAGGGUUGAUGGUGCGCUAAUGAGAUUGAGGGAUACCCGUUUACAUUGUUCUUUUGGAAGUAAGGAAGCGAAGCCGGUUGUACUGCGUGAACUCUGCUGGAGGGAAGCAACAUUUGCUGCAAUGUCUGCGGAAGGGUAUCCUUCUGAUUCCGCGGCAUACGCAGACCCGAAUCUUGUCGCCCGUAAGCUGCCCGUCGUGAUGCAGAAGACCCAGAAGCUGAAGAUACCCAGUUAA